This 360-nucleotide transfer-messenger RNA is filed under the name Clostridiaceae. RNAcentral describes it as "Dwaynesavagella gallinarum Standard tmRNA". It matches the Rfam family "transfer-messenger RNA". Rfam says of the family: Bacterial tmRNA, also known as 10Sa RNA or SsrA, is named for its dual tRNA and mRNA-like properties. Its role is to liberate the mRNA from a stalled ribosome. Lineage: Bacteria; Bacillati; Bacillota; Clostridia; Eubacteriales. RNAcentral also lists the same sequence under 1 other name. The record is from RNAcentral.
GGGGGCGUAUUUUGGUUUCGACGGGGGUAAUGGAGUCUUUAAAUAGCGAGUAAAGUUUUCGUAGAUUCUUUUAAAAAAUUUACGGAAAAAAGUAAACGACAAAGAUUAUUCUUUACAAGCUGCUUAAUUAAUCGCAGCUUCAUUCUUUCUGUGAGUCCUACGGCAUAGAUAAGAGUGUUAAAUUUUAGUAGGGAAACGAGCCUUGAUAAGCUUUGCUCAGGGAACGGGAUUUUAUGAAGCUACUUUAAAUAAAUUUUGUUUAUGGAAGGUAUUUAAGGGAAAUUAAAUCAUAAACUGCACUCGGAGAAGUUUAAGGAUGACUGCUUUCGGACAGGGGUUCAACUCCCCUCGCCUCCACCA